Molecule: ribosomal RNA, 921 nt
Filed under: uncultured Thermoplasmatales archaeon
Lineage: Archaea; Methanobacteriati; Thermoplasmatota; Thermoplasmata; Thermoplasmatales
Description: bacterial SSU rRNA
Rfam family: Archaeal small subunit ribosomal RNA
Source: RNAcentral
CCUGCCAGAGGCCACUGCUAUCGGGGUUCGAUUAAGCCAUGCGAGUCGAGAGGUGCAAGACCUCGGCGCACUGCUCAGUAACACGUGGAUAACCUACCCUGAGGAGAGGGAUAACCCCGGAAAACUGGGGAUAAUACCUCAUAGACCAGGGAUGCUGGAAUGCUUCCUGGUCCAAAGGUCCGCCGCCUCAGGAUGGGUCUGCGGCCGAUUAGGUUGUUGUUGGGGUAACGGCCCAACAAGCCUUUGAUCGGUACGGGUUGUGGGAGCAAGAGCCCGGAGAUGGAUUCUGAGACACGAAUCCAGGCCCUACGGGGCGCAGCAGGCGCGAAAACUUUACAAUGCGAGAAGUCGUAACAAGGUAACCACGACGAGGGAAUCCCAAGUGCUAACGAUUUUUCGUUAGCUGUGGACUUGUCUAAAAAACAAGUAGAGCAAGGGCUGGGUAAGACGGGUGCCAGCCGCCGCGGUAAUACCCGCGGCCCAAGUGGUGUUCGUUAUUAUUGGGUUUAAAACGUCCGUAGCCGGACCAGUAAAUUCUUGGGUAAAUCGACUGGCCUAACCAAUCGAAUUCCGGUGAGACUGCUGGUCUUGGGACUGGGGGAGGUCGGAGGUACUUCCAGGGUAGGGGUGAAAUCCUGUAAUCCUGGGGGGACCACCAGUGGCGAAGGCGUCCGACCAGAACAGCUCCGACGGUAAGGGACGAAGCCCUGGGGCGCAAACGGGAUUAGAUACCCCGGUAGUCCAGGGUGUAAACGCUGCGGGCUUGGUGUCGGGGGUCCUAUGAGGGCGCUCGGUGCCGGAGUGAAAAUGUUAAGCCUGCUACCUGGGGGAGUACGGUCGCAAGACUGAAACUUAAAAGGAAUUGGCGGGGGAGCACCGCAACGGGGUGGAGCGUGCGGUUUAAUUGGAUUCAACGCCGGA